RNAcentral lists this small RNA (127 nucleotides) under Marmota monax (woodchuck). The record is from RNAcentral. Lineage: Eukaryota; Metazoa; Chordata; Mammalia; Rodentia; Sciuridae.
GCUGGACAUGGUGGUGAAUGCCUGUAAUCCCAGAGAUUCGGGAGGCUGAGGCAGGAGGAUUGCAAGUCCAAAGCCAGCGGCAGUAAUUUAGUGAGGCUCUAAGCAACUCAGUGAGACCCUGUCUCUA